GACGAACGCUGGCGGCGUGCUUAACACAUGCAAGUCGAACGGAAAGGCCCUGCUUUUGUGGGGUGCUCGAGUGGCGAACGGGUGAGUAACACGUGAGUAACCUGCCCUUGACUUUGGAAUAACUUCAGGAAACUGGGGCUAAUACCGGAUAGGAGCUCCUGCUGCAUGGUGGGGGUUGGAAAGUUUCGGCGGUUGGGGAUGGACUCGCGGCUUAUCAGCUUGUUGGUGGGGUAGUGGCUUACCAAGGCUUUGACGGGUAGCCGGCCUGAGAGGUUGACCGGCCACAUUGGGACUGAGAUACGGCCCAGACUCCUACGGGAGGCAGCAGUGGGGAAUAUUGCACAAUGGGCGGAAGCCUGAUGCAGCAACGCCGCGUGCGGGAUGACGGCCUUCGGGUUGUAAACCGCUUUCGCCUGUGACGAAGCGUGAGUGACGGUAAUGGGUAAAGAAGCACCGGCUAACUACGUG
Molecule: ribosomal RNA, 468 nt
Filed under: uncultured bacterium
Lineage: Bacteria
Description: partial 16S ribosomal RNA
Rfam family: Bacterial small subunit ribosomal RNA
Source: RNAcentral